RNAcentral lists this ribosomal RNA (253 nucleotides) under uncultured bacterium. RNAcentral's name for it is "partial 16S ribosomal RNA". It matches the Rfam family "Bacterial small subunit ribosomal RNA", at positions 524 to 776 of the family's 1533-position model. The record is from RNAcentral.
UACAGAGGUCUCAAGCGUUGUUCGGAUUCAUUGGGCGUAAAGGGUGCGUAGGCGGCGCGGUAAGUCGGGUGUGAAAUCUCGGAGCUUAACUCCGAAAUUGCAUUCGAUACUGCCGUGCUCGAGGACUGGAGAGGAGACUGGAAUUCAUGGUGUAGCAGUGAAAUGCGUAGAGAUCAUGAGGAAGACCAGUGGCGAAGGCGGGUCUCUGGACAGUUCCUGACACUGAGGCACGAAGGCCAGGGGAGCAAACGGG